Molecule: ribosomal RNA, 474 nt
Filed under: uncultured bacterium
Lineage: Bacteria
Description: bacterial SSU rRNA
Rfam family: Bacterial small subunit ribosomal RNA
Source: RNAcentral
UAGUCCACACCGUAAACGCUGUCUACUAGCUGUUUGUGAGUUUAACUCGUGAGUAGCGAAGCUAACGCGCUAAGUAGACCGCCUGGGGAGUACGGUCGCAAGAUUAAAACUCAAAUGAAUUGACGGGGGCCCGCACAAGCGGUGGAGCAUGUGGUUUAAUUCGAUGCAACGCGAAAAACCUUACCUACCCUUGACAUCAUCGGAACUUGUCAGAGAUGACUCGGUGCCUUCGGGAACCGAUAGACAGGUGCUGCAUGGCUGUCGUCAGCUCGUGUCGUGAGAUGUUGGGUUAAGUCCCGCAACGAGCGCAACCCUUGUCCUUAGUUGCCAGCACGUAAAGGUGGGAACUCUAGGGAGACUGCCGGUGACAAACCGGGNGGAAGGUGGGGAUGACGUCAAGUCAUCAUGGGCCCUUACGGGGUGGGGCUACACACGUGCUACAAUGGGUCGGGUACAGAGGGGUUGCGAAGCCGC